This 231-nucleotide unclassified non-coding RNA is filed under the name Hevea brasiliensis (rubber tree). Lineage: Eukaryota; Viridiplantae; Streptophyta; Magnoliopsida; Malpighiales; Euphorbiaceae. The record is from RNAcentral.
GUCGGGUUGGUUUGAGUUGAGUCGUCACUUGAAUUGUAUUCCUUUCAAAUCUCUACUAAAUUCACUUGCAGCCAAGACAUUUCCAGCAUUAUUUGACUUCCAGGAAAAUAGUUCUCAGGUAAGAUCUGAUGAUUGUUGCAUGUGUUUCUAUACUUGGAAGAUUUGCCCAGCGAACCAAUUGGAUGCCCUUCUCUGAAUUUCUUGAGAAUUUAGAGGUUGCUUUCAUUCCUG